GCCGUUUUAAUAGCAAUAACUCACAUUAUUCAUGCUAUAUAGAAAAACAUCAAAUAAUUCAGAGAAAAUAUAAAAGUUGAAAAAAUUGCCCUUUCAUGAACAGGUCACGCUAAAAAUCAUUGCACAUGUCGAUAAAAAAGAAUUCUCCAAUUAUCUUCAUUAUUUGCUUUCAAAGAUGGUUUUAAAAAGGUUUGUAACUUUAGGAAAUGUUAAUCUUUACUUAAUUACUCUGCAAAGACCUUACAAAGUCUGGUUUGACCUUGAAGAUUAUUCCGGAAACACAGUUUGUGCUAUCAACUAUAGAUUUAGCGUUGGUGACGAGGGAACAUACUAUCUAUCGAGCAUUUCUGGGUAUCAUGGAACAGCAGGUUUUACAUAGUCCUUCUACGGUACAAAUUUAAUACAUAGCCCUACUUAGCUACUAAUAUUAUACAUAAUCGUACUAAGGUAAUAAAGAUAUACAUAGUCCUACUAAGGUUAUACAUAGCCCUCCUAAAAGUAAACAUAUUCCUUCUUAGGAUAUACUUCGGUACUGGCAAGAAAAUACGGAUUUUUUGUUAUUUAAAUACAAAAUAAAAAAAUUAUCUUAAAUUAAGGAAAAUAUCUCCCUCAUGCAAAUCUUUGAUUCCUUAACUGGCUUUGGCUAUACUUUGUGUACCUAUCUGAUGUAUAGCUCUUCAUUCUUUUAGAUACGCUUUGGAUUUUAAAACAUUUUGAACUCGAACAUCACUGAAUAGACAUUUAUUGUCGACAUGCGUGCAAAAAAAAAUGUUACCGUUAAUGUUAUUAUACAUUUCCUUUCUACUAAGUACUAAUGUUAUACAUAGUCCUACUUAUGUUAUACAUAGACCUAUUCAUGCUAUUAGAAUAAUACAUAGCUCUACGGAGGUUAUACACAGCUGAAUAUUAUACAUACUAGUAGCCUCACUAAGAUUAUAUAUAGCCUUACUUGGGUUACACAUAGCCUUAUAUCGGUAUUCCACAACCCUAAUAAUAUACACAGCCCUACUAAGGUAAUAUAUUUCCAUACUAAGGUUAUAUAUAGCAAACUUAAAGUUACAUAGCAUAAGCACUAAUAAGGUUAUACAUAGUUCUAAUAUUAGCCAUAGCAAUAUUGUAUCAUACAUAGCCCUAUUUAGGUUAAACAUAGCCUUAUUUAGGUUAUGCACAACCCUAAUCAUAUAUACACCCAUACUAAGGUAAUACAUAGCCAUACUAAGGUUAAAUAUAGCCAAAGUAGUUUAAACAUAGCCACUUUAAGGUUAUAUAUAGCCAAAUUAAGGUUAAAAUAGCCCAACUAAGAUUAUACACAGUCCUUCUAAGUUUAUACAUAGCCUUUUAAGUUUAUACAUAACCCUUCUAAGGUUAUAGAUAGCCAUUAUAAGGUUUUACUUAGACCUAUUGAGAUUAUAAAAAGUAAAAACACAAAAAUACUGACCUCCUGUUAGCAGUAAUCAACAUCCUGACUGUGUGAACUUCCCAAUUACGUAAUUACCGAUUACACUAUACACCAUUUCUGAAUUGGUACAUUAAACAAU
Molecule: long non-coding RNA, 1538 nt
Filed under: Mytilus galloprovincialis (Mediterranean mussel)
Lineage: Eukaryota; Metazoa; Mollusca; Bivalvia; Mytilida; Mytilidae
Source: RNAcentral